AAAGUUUUGAAGACCUGUAUUGUCAAGAUUUACGUUUUUCUUCGUUUUCUCCCUCGAGCAAAUGCGGCAAUGAGUUCUCACGGCAUGUGUGUGGAGAAGGAGUUGAAUAAAUGCCCGUUUUGAAGAACUGCUUGUACGCCUGAUUGACAAGAGGGAGCUACAGUGAGAACUCACCCAGCCCGGCGCCAGAACAAGACGGUGUUCGGCAGAGCUACAAGCAAGUCACUUCACUCACCUCUUCCAUCGGACAGAUAAGAGACUGUACAUUCACCUGCCUACACAAGUAGCUACCUGAGUCCAGAGAGCUUUGGGUGCCAGUCAACAAUAAGUAAACAUUUGAACAAGUUAAAUGUUUAAAGGUGGACUAGCCUCAAUUGCUGUAAAGGGACCUACAAGUGCUAAAUUGUGCAAUGUUAUGGUGAUGUGUGCAUGUUGUAAGGUUUAAGUGCUUGCUUAUUUGCACCUAGUAAUGUCUGAUUGAGGUGUGAACGACCAUUCAUAGCAUUUGAAAACAAGUUCAUUUGCGAACAUUCAAAGGUGUAGAACAACAUUUAAGUGAUUAAGUCAUUGCAAUGAAAAAUUAAGUUUAUUGUACAUUUAGUCAAUAUAUUAGACAGGUUGGUUGAUAAAGUAAAUUACAGGAGUCAGUAGUAAUUCAAGAUAGCCUACUGUAGUUAAGUGAUAAAACUAUAACAUCAUUACAUUAGUAAAUCAGAUAAAUACUGAGUUCAUGAGACUUCCUAAAAAUGGAUGUGUCCAAGAUAGAAGGGAUAACUCCAAUCUUAGAAGGCAUUGAGGAUGCUGAUAGUGAGCAAGCAGAUAAAACUCUUAAGGGGGAGACUGAAAUAAGUGAAGGCAAACAACCUGCCCCAGAAGAUGAACUAAGAAGAAGUGAAAGAUCGAGAAGGCUCACUGAGAAGGGACAAGAACUCGAAGAGACUAAACUCAAAGGUCUCCAACAUCGUUUCUCACGUACCUAUGACAAGUGGAAGAUUCUUGCUAAGAAAUCAAGGAAGGAGAUAGAGGGAGCCUCUUCUCAAGAGAACCUACAAACUCUCAUCAACAAGAUAAAAGAAGCAUCAAAUGAUGUACAGCAGGCGUACGAAGACCUGCGCAAAUGCAUAAUCCCUGAUAAAGAGACACGCCGUCGAACAGACACCUGCGACACUGUCUCAAGGCAGAUAUUAGAGCAUGCUUGGAACCAUCUCCAA
Molecule: long non-coding RNA, 1211 nt
Organism: Syngnathus acus (greater pipefish)
Lineage: Eukaryota; Metazoa; Chordata; Actinopteri; Syngnathiformes; Syngnathidae
Exons: 2
Source: RefSeq, a predicted model, not a curated record